GUGCUCACUUUGGUGGCACAUACAAUAAAAUUGGAAAGUUAUAGAGAUUAGCAUGACCCCCUGCACAAAGAUGACACACGCAUUCAUGAAACUGUCCAUAAAAAA
RNAcentral lists this small nuclear RNA (105 nucleotides) under Rhinopithecus bieti (black snub-nosed monkey). The record is from RNAcentral. Lineage: Eukaryota; Metazoa; Chordata; Mammalia; Primates; Cercopithecidae.